RNAcentral lists this ribosomal RNA (506 nucleotides) under uncultured bacterium. RNAcentral's name for it is "partial 16S ribosomal RNA". It matches the Rfam family "Bacterial small subunit ribosomal RNA", at positions 29 to 523 of the family's 1533-position model. The record is from RNAcentral.
AGUGAACGCUGGCGGUAGGCCUAGCACAUGCAAGUCGAACGGCAGCACAGAGGAGCUUGCUCCUUGGGUGGCGAGUGGCGGACGGGUGAGGAAUACAUCGGAAUCUACUCUGUCGUGGGGGAUAACGUAGGGAAACUUACGCUAAUACCGCAUACGACCUACGGGUGAAAGCAGGGGACCUUCGGGCCUUGCGCGAUUGAAUGAGCCGAUGUCGGAUUAGCUAGUUGGCGGGGUAAAGGCCCACCAAGGCGACGAUCCGUAGCUGGUCUGAGGGGAUGCUCAGCCACACUGGAACUGAGACACGGUCCAGACUCCUACGGGAGGCAGCAGUGGGGAAUAUUGGACAAUGGGCGCAAGCCUGAUCCAGCCAUACCGCGUGGGUGAAGAAGGCCUUCGGGUUGUAAAGCCCUUUUGUUGGGAAAGAAAUCCAGCUGGCUAAUACCCGGUUGGGAUGACGGUACCCAAAGAAUAAGCACCAGCUAACUUCGUGCCAGCAGCCGCCGUAA